Molecule: RNA transcript, 3595 nt
Organism: Zonotrichia albicollis (white-throated sparrow)
Lineage: Eukaryota; Metazoa; Chordata; Aves; Passeriformes; Passerellidae
Gene: VWC2L
Gene name: von Willebrand factor C domain containing 2 like
Source: RefSeq, a predicted model, not a curated record
GGGGUUUCUCCGCGGCAUCGCAGCCUCCGGACCGCCUGAAUCCUGCUCCCUCUGAAUCGUCGGCGCCGGGUUAAAGCUCAGUUCUCAUGUUGUGGUUGCUGGGCUGCCGCGCUCCCGUUUUGCGAUGGGAGGUGGAGGAAAAGGGAUUGUCCGUGAGUCAACACCGAAAACGUGAUUAGGAUGAACUGGUUUCACUAAUCUGUUUCUAACCUUUCAGUCCAUGUUGGCCUGUGACCCCUCUCAGCUUUCACAUCCAGCCCGAUCAGACCACAACACUGGUCUCCCUAUGGAAGCAACUGUUUGUAUCUGGCUUUGAGGUCCCAUGGAGAAGCUGAGGAGGGGGAUGGCUCUUCACAUCCAUGAAGCCUGGAUACUUCUGUUUGUGCUCCCUGGUUUGGUCACUCCAGCUGCCAUCAACCAUGAAGAUUACCCCGCUGACGAAGGGGACCAGACCUCCAGUAAUGACAAUCUGAUCUUUGAUGAUUACCGGGGGAAGGGCUGUGUGGAUGACAGUGGCUUUGUGUACAAACUGGGAGAACGUUUUUUCCCAGGACAUUCCAACUGUCCCUGUGUCUGUACUGAGGAUGGACCUGUUUGUGAUCAACCAGAAUGCCCUAAAAUCCACCCAAAGUGCACAAAAGUGGAACACAAUGGAUGCUGUCCAGAAUGCAAAGAAGUGAAAAACUUUUGUGAAUAUCAUGGGAAAAAUUACAAAAUCUUGGAGGAAUUUAAGCCCUCGCCAUGCGAAUGGUGUCGCUGCGAGCCCAGCAAUGAAGUUCACUGUGUUGUAGCAGACUGCGCAGUCCCCGAGUGUGUCAACCCGGUCUAUGAGCCAGAGCAGUGUUGUCCUGUCUGCAAAAAUGAAAUUCCUGAAAUGGCCAGAUUUUAAGAUUGCACUUAAACCCCCUUCAGUCCCAGUCUAUGCAAUGUGCUGGUUGGUUGUGCAGAUGCAAGGGAAUGUGCCCAGCCAAGGAGAAGAAGUGAGUGCUCCCCACGCCGGAUUUUGCUGGACUCCACCAUCCUCUCCCCAGGUGCUGGCAGCUGAAGGCAGUAGCAUAGCACAGCCCCUUCACCCUGCAUGGUUGGGAAUGGGAUGGCAGCCAACCUUUGGGGCACUUGGUCACCCCCACGGCCACCACCCCCGUCAAGUGUCAGCCCGAGGGGCCACGGGAAGGACCGGACGAUGCUCUUUGGGAUGGCCAGCAGGAGUGUGAACUGUGGAGCCCUCUGAGCUCAGCUGAAGCAGUGAUUUGAUUACCAGCAGAGGAAAUAAAGGAUUGAUUUGAAAGCUGGUAGAAGAUCAAGACUGAAAAUGAAGAGGUGUAUUUGAGCCAGGCAGACACCAACCUGACAAAAUACUCCAGUGCUUGCUUUACUGUUCCUUAAGAAGUCAUUUCUCUGAAACUGAUUUUCAGUGGAGCUCGUCCAUCUGAUCACUUCGGGCCAAGGGGUUAAAGGCAUGUAGGUGCUGAACUUGACACAAAAGCAUCUGUCAAGACCUAGAUCCUCCACUGCCUUGGAAAUCUCCAGCACUUGGAUCCUCCAGAUGCUCAAAUGCCCUGCUGACUCAAGAUGGGUCACAGCUUUUGGAAGAGGCCUCUGUAACAGUGAAAACUGGAAAAGUUGAAACCUCCAAAAUUAGCCAUGCUGAUGUUAGACAGCAUCAGGGAGGGCUGAGUUGAAUCUGUAACACUGAAAACUUUGGAAAAGUUGAAACCUCCAAAAUUAGCCAUGCUGAUGUUAGACAGCAUAGGGAGGGCUGAGUUGAAUCUGCCACCUUGUGAAGUUUCAGAGGAAGUGAGACUGAGAGCGACAAGGGAGAGGAAAAGCCUUUAGAGAACAAAAAAGCCCUGAACUGAGCAGCACUUAAUGUGAUUAAAGCCAUCCCAGAGCUCAGUGCUCACACAAAGCCGGGCUGCUGGGCUGUGCAGUGGCAGGGAUGCUGCUGGAAAAGCUCCAUUCCCAGGGAGCUGCAGCCUGGAGCCAGCAGGACAGCGGCCCCUGAACCUGGUGUGUUCACCUGCACAGGUCACCUGCUGCUUCCCAAGCCUCUGUGCUCUCUGCCCUGCAAGCAAGAAAGGGAUCAUUCACCAAUUAAACAGGCAGGAAAAGGCUCUGCCUGGCUGCUGCAGGCCAGGCAGGAGCUGAAAGCUGCUGGCCUGAAUUGACACCCCAGGUCCCGACCAUGCUCCUGUGCUUCCACCACAGCAGAGUGCAGAUGAAUGUAACAGCACCCUGAAGGGAGGAUCAUGGAAGGGUCAGGGAGGAUCAUGAGGAGCCAUUUGUGGGACAGGAGCAGCUCCAAAGCGCUCUUUCAGCUCUCACAGAUGUGGGAAACACGUUACCUGCUCUGCAUUACUCCUCAGACUCAGAAAUAUUUAUGAAGAAGCUUUUGCUCAUCAUGGUUGUCCCCCCUUGGGGAGAUGUUGCUGAAGUUUGUGUGCACUGGCCUGUGAGAGUGCUAGUUCAAGGUUCACUAUCACCAUGAUUGUGUCUUGUAGAGAAGGGCUGGGUUAGGGGUUUUGGAGGGGAGGGAAGGGUUCCUACAUUCCAGCUGGGAAGCCAGGUUCCUUUGCAGAACACAAGGAGCCUGGGCAGUACUGAAAUUAAAGCAGGCAUUGUGUUGCUGUUCCCCACCUGGUUCUCGGUGUGACUUUAAAAUACCAGAAGUGACUUUAUGAUCCAAUGACACUGCUGUAAACCACUUUGCUGCAAGAGAAGCUGAAAGCCAAAUCCUGUGUCCGUGUCACUUGGUGUAAAACAGCAUUUUUUACUCUGACUUACUCCAGCUGAGGAUCUGACCUGCUGGUACCUCUGGGUGGCUCAGAGGCACACUGCAGGAGGCUGGGGUGUUUUGCAUGGCCAGGGUUCUGAAAGGAUUAGAGAGGCUUUGCUUUGGCUGGCCAGAAGGUUGGGGUUGUGAGGCAUGUCUGUGUGAGAAGAGUGGCAGACACUGUCUUCGUGUAUUUCUCAUUUGAUGAAUGUUUAAUGCUUCUUUAUUGGAGCCUACACAUAUGUAGAGUAGAGGUCUUUAAGAAGGGGUUGACUUAUUUCAAAUAAUUUAUGUCUGAGCUGCUCCUUUUACAUGAAAUGCAGACUUUACAGAGCAAAGAGACUGAAAUGAAAAUAUGAAUUAAAGAUUAGAGCUAAGCAAGUCUGAGAACACUUAGAAUUAAGAAAGGCUUACAAGUUUUCUCCUCCUGCUUCCUUUCCUUCCCUCCACCUUUCCUACAACUCCAUCCCCUCUCCUUUGGCAGGGUGCUGCAUUCCAGGGCAGCCUUGUGUCCCUCCCACAGGGCACAGCAGGGCACACAGUUACUGUGUGGCCAUACACUACCCCAGCCUGUCACCUGCCAACUCACACAUCCCUUUGGCUGCAGAGACUAAAAGGGGGUUGAAGGUGUGUUUCUCUUCAUCUCUCUCCCUGAUUUGCUGGUGAAGUGCCUCACCUGGACAGAACAAAAAGGAGUGCAUUUUGCCAGAGGGACCCUCCAUUUGCAGCUCAGCCAGGUCCCAACUGCUUUGCGGGCACCACCAUCAUUCCCGCGGGCAUUGAGGUGAAGGUGGACGACUGCAACAUCUGCCACUGCCACAA